GUUUGAUCCUGGCUCAGGAUGAACGCUAGCUACAGGCUUAACACAUGCAAGUCGAGGGGCAGCAUGAAAGUUUGUUUGCAAACUUUUGAUGGCGACCGGCGCACGGGUGAGUAACACGUAUCCAACCCGCCUCAUACUCGGGGAUAGCCUUUCGAAAGAAAGAUUAAUACCCGAUGUCAUAGUCCUACCGCAUGAUGGGACUAUUAAAGAAUUUCGGUAUGGGAUGGGGAUGCGUUCCAUUAGUUAGUUGGCGGGGUAACGGCCCACCAAGACAACGAUGGAUAGGGGUUCUGAGAGGAAGGUCCCCCACAUUGGAACUGAGACACGGUCCAAACUCCUACGGGAGGCAGCAGUGAGGAAUAUUGGUCAAUGGACGAGAGUCUGAACCAGCCAAGUAGCGUGAAGGAUGACUGCCCUAUGGGUUUAAACUUCUUUUAUAUGGGAAUAAAACGUUCACGUGUGGGAUUUUGUAUGUACCAUAUGAAUAAGGAUCGGCUAACUCCGUGCCAGCAGCCGCGGUAAUACGGAGGAUCCGAGCGUUAUCCGGAUUUAUUGGGUUUAAAGGGAGCGUAGGUGGAUUGUUAAGUCAGUUGUGAAAGUUUGCGGCUCAACCGUAAAAUUGCAGUUGAAACUGGCAGUCUUGAGUACAGUAGAGGUGGGCGGAAUUCGUGGUGUAGCGGUGAAAUGCUUAGAUAUCACGAAGAACUCCGAUUGCGAAGGCAGCUCACUGGACUGCAACUGACACUGAGGCUCGAAAGUGUGGGUAUCAAACAGGAUUAGAUACCCUGGUAGUCCACACAGUAAACGAUGAAUACUCGCUGUUUGCGAUAUACAGUAAGCGGCCAAGCGAAAGCAUUAAGUAUUCCACCUGGGGAGUACGCCGGCAACGGUGAAACUCAAAGGAAUUGACGGGGGCCCGCACAAGCGGAGGAACAUGUGGUUUAAUUCGAUGAUACGCGAGGAACCUUACCCGGGCUUAAAUUGCACCUGAAUAAUGUGGAAACAUGUUAGCCGUAAGGCAGGUGUGAAGGUGCUGCAUGGUUGUCGUCAGCUCGUGCCGUGAGGUGUCGGCUUAAGUGCCAUAACGAGCGCAACCCUUAUCUUCAGUUACUAACAGGUCAUGCUGAGGACUCUGGAGAGACUGCCGUCGUAAGAUGUGAGGAAGGUGGGGAUGACGUCAAAUCAGCACGGCCCUUACGUCCGGGGCUACACACGUGUUACAAUGGGAGGUACAGAAGGCCGCUACCUGGCGACAGGAUGCCAAUCCCCAAAACCUCUCUCAGUUCGGAUCGAAGUCUGCAACCCGACUUCGUGAAGCUGGAUUCGCUAGUAAUCGCGCAUCAGCCAUGGCGCGGUGAAUACGUUCCCGGGCCUUGUACACACCGCCCGUCAAGCCAUGAAAGCCGGGGGUACCUGAAGUACGUAACCGCAAGGAUCGUCCUAGGGUAAAACUGGUAAUUGGGGCUAAGUCGUAACAAGGUAGCCGUACCGGAAGGUGCGGCUGGAACACCUCCUUUCU
This 1519-nucleotide ribosomal RNA is filed under the name Bacteroides acidifaciens. RNAcentral's name for it is "16S ribosomal RNA". It matches the Rfam family "Bacterial small subunit ribosomal RNA". The record is from RNAcentral. Lineage: Bacteria; Pseudomonadati; Bacteroidota; Bacteroidia; Bacteroidales; Bacteroidaceae.